GGACCACUCUGAUGGCCUAGUGGUUAGAGCGUCCGCCUCGGAUGCAGGAGGUCGCGUGUUCGAAACCCGGCAAAGUCAUUCCA
Potamilus streckersoni is the source of this 83-nucleotide non-coding RNA. NCBI's taxonomy places the organism in Eukaryota, Metazoa, Mollusca, Bivalvia, Unionida, Unionidae. The record is from the annotation of a GenBank genome assembly.